AUGGAUGAGCCCAGCGAGAUGCCACAGAUGAUUGAUGCCAUAAGAACGAUGCUGGAGUUAUUGGGUGAUGGUGAAACAUCGACGAAUAUUUCUGCCUACGACACGGCAUUGGUCGCCCUUGUCAAGAACCUUGAGGGAGGUGAUGGACCGCAAUUCCCCUCAUGCAUUGACUGGAUUGUUCAAAAUCAACUACCGGAUGGUUCAUGGGGUGACCCCGCUUUCUUUCUGGUCCAAGAUCGGAUGAUAAGCACCCUGGCAUGUGUGGUGGCAGUGAAGUCUUGGAAAAUUGACAACGCCAACUUGUGUGAUAGAGGUGUGUCAUUUAUCCAAGAAAAUAUGAGCAGGUUGGUAGAAGAGGAACAGGACUGGAUGCCAUCCGGCUUCGAGAUUAACUUCCCAGCACUCCUAGACAGGGCCAAGGACCUGUAUUUGGACAUCCCUUAUAAUCACCCUGUUUUGGAAGAGAUAUAUGCCAAGAGAAAUCUAAAGCUCUCGAAGAUCCCUCUGGAACUACUACACGCCACACCAACCACCCUACUUUUCAGCUUGGAGGGAAUGGCAAACUUGCAGUUGGACUGGGAAAAGCUCCUCAAGUUGCGGUGUCCGGACGGCUCCUUCCACUCAUCGCCUGCUGCCACAGCUGCUGCCCUCUGUCACACCGGUGACAAGGAAUGCCUUGCGUUUCUGGAGAGGCUCGUCAAGAAGUUCGACGGGGGAGUGCCAUGUACCCACGCGAUGGAUAUUUUUGAGCACUUAUGGGUGGUCGAUCGGCUGAUGCGUCUGGGGAUAUCAAGGCACUUCACAUGUGAAAUUGAGCAGUGCAUGGAUUAUAUUUACAGGCGCUGGACUCAAAAGGGACUGGCUCAUAACGCGCACUGCCCAACCACGGAUAUUGAUGACACGGCCAUGGGUUUCCGUCUCCUCCGUCAGCAUGGCUAUGACGUCACUCCAUCCGUGUUUAAGCACUUUGAGAAGGACGGCAAGUUUGUAUGCUUCCCCAUGGAGACGAACCACUCAUCUGUCACCCCAAUGCACAACACUUAUCGUGCAUCUCAAUUUAUGUUCGCCGGUGACGACAACGUCCUAGCACGGGCUGGGCACUAUUGCCAUUCAUUCCUCCAAGAGAGACAAGCCUCCAACAAACUGUACGACAAGUGGAUCAUCGCCAAGGACCUGCCGGGUGAGGUUGAGUACGCACUGAACUUCCCAUGGAAAGCAAGUCUGCCUCGAAUUGAAACAAGGAUGUAUCUGGAUCAGUAUGGAGGCAACACCGAUGUUUGGAUAGGCAAGGUCCUCUACAGAAUGAAACUUGUGAGCAGUGACCUGUACCUUAAAAUGGCAAAAGCUGAGUUCAGAGAAUAUCAAAGGCUCUCCCGACUUGAGUGGGAUGGCCUCAGAAAGUGGUAUUUCAGGAACCAUCUGCAGAGGUAUGGUGGCACUCCAAAGAGUGCGCUCACGGCUUACUUCUUAGCUGCAGCAAACAUCUUCGAACCUGGCCGAGCAGCAGAGCGUCUAGGAUGGGCUCGCAUGGCAGUGCUUGCCGGGGCGGUGACCUCUCACUUUCGACACACUGGGGGGGCAAAGGACUCAACUGAGAAUCUUGAAGACCUCAUUGACCUUGUCUCGGUUGACGACGCUUCUGGUGCUCUUCAUGAAGCUUGGAAGCAGUGGCUCAUGGCAUGGACUGCAAAGGAGAGGUGUGAAUCCCUUGAAGGGGAUACAGCACUGUUGUUGGUUUGCACAGUCGAGAUCUGCUCAGGAAGGCAUGUUACGACCGAGCAAAACCUCAACCUUUGGGAGUAUUCCCAGCUCGAGCAGCUCACCUCUUCCAUCUGCCGCAAGCUUGCCACAAUAGUUCUUGCUCAGAAUGGGGCAAGUAUGGAGAACACAGAGGGCUCACACCGGCAAGUGGAUUUGGAGAUGCAAGAACUAUCUUGGCGUGUUCAUCAGGGUUGCCAUGGCAUCAACAUAGAGACCAGGAAGACAUUUCUCAACGUUGUGAAAAGCUUCUAUUACUCGGCUCAUUGCUCACAUGAAACAGUCGAUAGCCACAUCGCAAAGGUCAUAUUCCAGGAUGUCAUUUAG
Molecule: ribosomal RNA, 2085 nt
Filed under: Triticum aestivum (bread wheat)
Lineage: Eukaryota; Viridiplantae; Streptophyta; Magnoliopsida; Poales; Poaceae
Description: partial small subunit ribosomal RNA
Source: RNAcentral